AGCGAACGCUGGCGGCAGGCCUAACACAUGCAAGUCGAACGGUCCUUCGGGACAGUGGCAGACGGGUGAGUAACACGUGGGAACGUGCCUUUAGGUUCGGGACAACCCAGGGAAACUUGGGCUAAUACCGGAUGUGCCCUUCGGGGAAAGGAUUUAUCGCCUUAGAGCGGCCCGCGUCUGAUUAGCUUGUUGGUGAGGUAA
RNAcentral lists this ribosomal RNA (201 nucleotides) under uncultured bacterium. Its description in RNAcentral is "partial 16S ribosomal RNA". It matches the Rfam family "Bacterial small subunit ribosomal RNA", at positions 29 to 260 of the family's 1533-position model. The record is from RNAcentral.